GGAGAACCAGGAGAUUUUUGGGGUACUUUCUCUAGUUUUCUGGACUUUGACCAUCAUUCCUCUUUGCAAGUACAUUAUAUUUGUGUUAGGGGCAGAUGACAAUGGCGAAGGUGGACCAUUUGCAUUGUAUUCAUUGCUCUGCCGACGCUCCAAUAUGGGUUUCUUAGAGGGCUCUCACAUGGGGCAUGAGGGUUUUUCUUCUCAUGAUUCUUCUGCGCCUACCAAGGAGACAAGAACUAGCUUGCUUAUAAAGGAAUUCUUCGAGAAGCAUCAUUCUUCUCGUCUAGUGUUGCUGCUAGUUGUUCUGCUUGGGACUAGCAUGGUUAUCGGUGAUGGAAUUCUGACCCCAACAAUGUCUGUUUUAUCUGCAGUGUACGGAAUUGAAACAAAGGUGCCAAAUUUACAUGAGAAUUAUACUGUGGCAAUUGCCUGUGUGGUCUUGGUGGGGCUUUUUGCACUCCAGCACUGUGGAACACAUAGAGUUGGGUUUCUGUUUGCUCCAAUUUUGUUAGCUUGGCUACUGUGCCUUGGUGGAGUUGGCAUUUAUAACAUAUUCCAUUGGAACCCUGGCGUGAUCAAUGCUCUAUCUCCAAGCUAUAUUUAUAAAUUUUUCCAGAAAGCCGGAAAAAGUGGAUGGAGUUCACUAGGAGGCAUUGUUCUCUGUGUUACAGGAGC
Molecule: unclassified non-coding RNA, 675 nt
Filed under: Hevea brasiliensis (rubber tree)
Lineage: Eukaryota; Viridiplantae; Streptophyta; Magnoliopsida; Malpighiales; Euphorbiaceae
Source: RNAcentral